GGAGAAGAAGAACGCGGGUGUAUGUGUGACACACAGAAAAAGUGAGUGUUGUAUUUGAGAAGCUCGUCCGAUAAAGUGACUUAAACGAAAGUUAAUCGGGGCUUAGAUCGAAUAAAGGACAACAUCAAGUAAUUUUUGUGAGCUGUGUCCCGCGUUUCGUAGUUUUUUUGUGAGUUUUGAUCUGUGAAUCGCAUUGCGUUGGACUGCUGGAGUGACGCAGUAAUGUUUGUGAAGGCUACAAGAACUGAACUUUGAACUGUGAGAGUUCGGUUGAAUCACAGAACCUAAAGUGAACUGAGUGAGUACAUAAAGGGACAUUUCACGUGAGUGCUCUUCCAGAUGUGAAAUUGCAUCGUAUAUAUUGAUGUUGUUUUUCUCCUCAAAUGUGAUUGUCUGAUCAUUCGAAGUUGAUCAUUUUGAAAACUUAAAAUUCAUCAUAAGUGGUGUUUAGAAAAGUGUUUUUUUUAUUUUAUUUUGAAGUGGGGUUUAUCUUUGUACAAGUAAAAAAGUUUAGAGUUUUUACAUUGAAAGUGAUUGGGUUGUACUGGGUUUGAAAGAAAACACAAAGACCAUACAUUUUUUUAUUUAUUUUAUUUACUCUAUUUUAUUUUAUUAACCCUUAAUUAACACUUGAUUACAAGAAAGAAGAAAAGACACAGAUAAUAAAUAUUGUUUAAUUUUCAUACUUACCUCAUUGUAUUUUUUGUUUAGAGCUGUCAAGGAGUAGGGGCGUCUCAGCUACUUUAUUAGACCAGAGGAGGGAGGAGUAUAUUAGAUUUUCUCACACCUUUUACUUUUACUUCAGGAAGCCAGUGACAUUACUUAAGCUGAAGCCUACCCUCGUCGGUCUGUACAUUCCAAUAAAGUAGAACACAACAUACAUACAAUUAGUGUGUAGUGAGACUAAAAGCACUGGAAGCGGAGACUAAGAUCUUUUCGUUAUUCAGUCUUCCGUGGCAGCACUAAUACAUCUUCCCCUACAAGACGGGUUAAAUACUCGUUACAUAAGUGGCGUCACGAACAGGAUCCAUACUUAGCCUAAUUUUUGUGGUUGUUGUAGUAUUCUGUCCCAGGUCUGUGAGCAAGAAGAAAAAUGGCAGAACUGGAAGAACUGAAGAAGGAGUUUGCUGAAAUGCAGAAGAGGUUAGCGGAGCAAGCUGGGGCAUUGGAUCAUGCCAGAACGGAACAGCGAGAAGCCCUGUCACUGGCCAGAGCAGUAAUGGAACAGCAAGCAUCCACUCGUGCAACCCCAGCAACGAUCUAUAUUCCAAGAGAUCAUAAGCUUACAGAUUUCACUGGAACCACAAAACCUGGAGAAGGAAGUGUGGAAGAGUGGAUUGUCUCUAUGAAAUCAGCCUUUCGAGUCAUGAAGGUGCCAGAAGAAGAUCAGGUGGAGCUGAUAAAGCAGCACUUAAAGGGGGAGGCUAAAGAUACUGUGAGGUUCAUGAUGGAAGAAGUGGAUAACUGUGUGGAGUCCAUUUUUCAGCUGCUUCAGGAAACCUAUGGAGACAAGGUACCUAUUGGCACAAGGUUGAAAGACUUUUAUGAUCGAAAACAAGCACCUAAUGAGACCAUACGUGCCUAUGCUUACGAUUUACGAGAAAAGCUCAACAAAGUGAAACGCAGAGAGCCCAAACGAGUUCCAGACGAAGAGAGUGUUUUGAAAGAGCAGUUAGUCCUUGGAUUGAGAGAUGAUUUCCUGAGAAGAGAGAUGAAACGGAGGGUCAAGGAAGAGCAACGGUUGACUUUUGCACAGCUGAUGCAGGACGCCAUCACAUGGUCUGAGGAAGAGGAAGCACAAUCUGAAGGUAACCUGAAGACCCCUGUGCGUGCGAGAGUAGCAGUUCACACUACAGUUGCGACUGGUGACAAUCCAUCCUCACUGACACUAGAAAAGUUGCACGAGGCAAUAGAGAAAAUAGCUGCACGACAGGAAGAAUUGUACAGAAUUGUCCAUAGUCAAGGGAGAGUUGAUCCCCAGUCUGAUGUUAUGAGAAGACAGCCUCUGAGAAACAGUGAAGGGCAAUAUAUCUGUUACACAUGUGGUCAACCAGGUCACACCAGUCGACGUUGUAGGCAGUUUAAGGAGCUGGGUAACCGGGGCACUGCGUCAUCGUCAAUGGCGGAAGUAUCUGAGGUGUUAAGAGGAGCUUCGUCAGGUGACAAUUCAAGCACCAGUGGGCCUUCCGUAAUCCGGAGCCAUACAGCUGACUGGAAUUCAGAUAUAGCGCCAGAAACACUAAGGGGUAGCGCUUUUGGAGACUGUUUGACAGUGGAUGUGAAAAUAGCAGGGGUGCUCACCAAAUGCUUGUUGGACACCGGUUCAGAGGUUACCACCAUCUCAGAGUCUCACUUUAAACAUCAUUUCGGAGGACAAGAGAUACAGCUGGCGUCUGCUAACUGGGUGCGCCUCACUGCUGCAAACGGACUAGACAUUCCUGUCCUUGGAUGUCUACAGGCAGACAUAGAGUGCAUGGGAAAGCUGCUUCCAGGGAAGUGUGUUUUCGUGCUAACAGACUCGAACCCCGAAGUGAAGGAGAUGAAGGGAUUGGCUGGAAUUGUGGGGAUGAAUGUGCUUAGUGAAUUGAAAAACCUUUUGCUGUCUGGAAAGGAUUUGGAUAAGGAGAGCAAAGUGAGCCAACGUGCAGAUGCUAAUGUCAGACGAGUGAUAGCCAAAGUGAAGAAAGAUGAAGGACUCGUGGGCCCAGAGGGAAGGAUAGGAUUCGUUAAGGUGUCUGGGAAGCAAGUUGUGAUAAUUCCACCCUUAAGUGAGAAAAUUGUGGAAGGCCACUGCAGUAUACCUCAUCAAGUAAAGCAUCAAGUAUUGGUGGAGUGCACAGGCUCUGUUACCCUUCCAAAAGGAUUGUUAGUGGCCAAUGUGCUUGCAAGCCCAGAAAAGGGGAAAGUUCCGGUGCGGGUGUUAAAUCUCUGUCAAGAAACCGUCAGGUUAAUGCCGAGAUCCAGGAUUGCAGUUGUGUCUAGGCCUCAAAAAGUAGUUCCAAAGCAAAUGGUGGAAUUUGAAGAGGAUGAUGAUGAGUUGCGUGUUAAACGACAUGUACAGUGCAGCAUUAAGAGUGAGAGCCAGCCUGAACAAUUGUCAAUUCCAGUUCAGAUGAAUCAGGACGGACUGUCUGAGAUGCAACGGGAGGAGCUAAAUGCCCUACUGAGACGUUACAGUGAUGUUUUCUCCAAGAGUGACACAGAUUAUGGAUACACAACAACAGUGACACAUAGCAUACCUACUGGAGAUGCUCAGCCAAUAAAACAACGCCAUCGACGAGUCCCACCCCACGUUUUUCAAGAGUUUAAGAGACAUGUGCAGGAUCUUGUCAGUCAAGGUGUACUGAACGAGAGUCGCAGUCCGUGGGCCUCACCUGCAGUUAUUGUGAUAAAAAAAGACGGAAGUGUUCGUUUCUGCUGCGACUACAGGAGACUCAACCAAGUCACAUUUAAGGAUGCCUACCCCCUUCCGCGUGUGGAGGAAUCCUUGGAUGCUUUGGGGAAUGCACAGUUGUUUUCCACACUGGAUCUCACGGCAGGUUAUUUUCAAGUGGCGGUAAAUGAAUCAGAUCGGGAGAAGACUGCUGUCACAACUCCGUUCGGGUUGUUUGAGUGGACACGGAUGCCGUUUGGUUUAUGCAACGCUCCGGCCACCUUUCAGCGAUUAAUGAGUGCAGCAUUAGGUGAUCUGGCCUUUGACGUUCUCUUGAUCUAUCUUGACGAUAUUAUUGUGUUCUCUGUGGAUUUCAAGAGCCAUUGUGAGAAGUUGGAGCUUGUGUUUUCAAGGUUGCGUUAGCACGGACUGAAGCUGAAACCAAGUAAAUGUUUCCUUCUGAGACCAGAGGUCCGGUUCUUGGGACACAUCAUUUCGUCAAAGGGAGUUCAAGUGGACAAGGACAAGGUUCAGUGCUUGGAUGCGUGGCCUUCACCGAAGAAUGUUAGAGAGGUCAGACAGCUGCUGGGAUUUAUGAGUUACUAUCGUCGGUUUGUCCCAAGAUUCGCACAGCUGGCAAAGCCCCUACAUGCCCUGGUGGGAAAAGGUAACAAAGGCAAGUCAGCCGAACCGUUUAUCUGGAGUGAUGAGUGUCAGUCCGCAUUCAGCAAGCUAAAGAGUUGUCUCAUGUCACCUCCGAUUCUGGCUUACCCUGAUUUUCAGUGUCCGUUCAUACUCACGACGGAUGGGAGCCUCAAUGGACUUGGAGCAAUACUCAGUCAAAAGCAGGGGGGCGUUGAACGUGUCAUUGCUUACGCGAGCAGAGGUCUAAAGGGAUCUGAAAGAAAUGACAAGUAUUACAGUGCCUUCAAGUUGGAGUUACUUGCCCUUAAAUGGGCAGUAACGGAGAAAUUUAAGGAAUACCUGAUAUUUGCUAAAUUUCAGGUUAUUACUGAUCACAAUCCUCUUCGCUACCUGGAGACAGCCAACCUCGGAGCAGUGGAACAGCGUUGGUCUGCACAGUUAGCAGAGUUCAACUUUGAGGUGUGUUACAAGCCCGGCAGACAGAACAUCAAUGCUGACGUUCUUUCGAGGAUUCCCUGGAGUAUGGAACCCGAGGAGGAUGACAAUGGAAAAGACUUCAUUCGGUUGACAUCAGACGAGGUACGGGCAUGCCUGUGGCCAAGUAAAAAAGAAGGAGUUGACAAGUCUGUUGUUCGAGUUGCCAAGCAAGCAGCCAUAAGGAAGGGUGUUGAUGGUUAUAGCUGGUCAUCCAUUAAAGAGCAACAGAGGAAGGAUUCUUGUAUAGAACCUGUGUACAAUUCUGUACUCGAGAACAGGAGGAUAAUGACACGUACCUUCCGGGAUAUGGAAACCCAGCAAAGGAAGUUAGCUAGACAGUUGGAGCGUUUGAAAUUAAGACAUGAAGUGCUGUUCCGAGUGAUUACGGACCCAAGAGACGGAGAAGAAAUUUGGCAGUUGGUAGUGCCUGAGUCUUUACGGGAGAAAGUGUUUAAAGGAGUUCAUGAACAUGGAGGACAUUUUGGCAGCAGGAGUACAUUAGAGCAGAUGCGAAAAAGUUAUUAUUGGCCCACAAUGGCUAAUGACGUACAGACAUGGGUAACUCAGUGUCGAAGAUGUACUCUAGCUAAGGAUGUAUUCCCCAGGAUUCGUGCUCCUAUGACCUGCACCAAUAUAACCGCACCCCUUGAAGUACUUGCCAUGGAUUACACUGUGCUGGAGAGAUCAGCAGGGGGUUACGAGAAUGUUCUAGUGCUUACGGACAUGUUUACAAGAUUUACUGUGGCAGUCCCCACGAAAAAUCAGACAGCACUGACCACCGCCAAAGCCCUUGUACGACACUGGUUUGUCUGCUAUGGGUGUCCUGCCCGAUUGCACUCGGAUCAAGGCAGAUGUUUCGAGGCAAGCGUAAUAAAGGAGCUCUGUAAAUUGUAUGGAAUCAGCAAGAGUCGCACCAGUCCUUAUCAUCCGCAGGGGAACGCGCAGUGCGAAAGGUUCAAUCGCACGAUGCAUGACAUGCUGCGAACAUUACCUGCGGAAAAGAAGAAGGAUUGGAAAACUCACCUGCCUGAACUUGUGAUGGCCUAUAAUAGCCAUGUUCAUUCAUCGACCGGUUACUCCCCAUUUUAUUUAAUGUUCGGACGGGACGCAAGACUGCCCAUGGAUGUUCUAGGAGGAAAAGACCUAUCUGAUGAUGAGGCGGAUGAUCUUGAUGAGUGGGUAAAGAAUCACCAUGAACGCCUGAGAACUGCAGUGGAGACGGCGAAGGUAACUGCUCAAGAAGCUUCCAGGAGAAGGAAGAGGGUCUAUGACCGCAAGGCCUCAGGAGCGCUCAUUAGACCUGGUGACAGAGUAUUGUUGCGUAACCACAAGUUUAGAGGACGUAACAAAAUUCAAGAUAAGUGGGAGUCUGUACCAUAUUUGGUAAUGCAGCAAAAUCAUGCAGGUUUACCAGUCUUUACUGUACGUCCUGAGCAGGGAGGUUCCACAAAGGUCGUUCACAGAGAUCAGUUGAGACACUGUACUUUCCCCUCACCCACAAGGCAGGUUACACAUGCAAGAAGAGGAAAAGAAUUGUCAGACUCAGACUCACAAGACAUUGUUUACAUUCCAUAUACUACACACUUACCAAAAACGUGCUUACCUGGGGAAGCUGAGGGUGGAGUGGUAUGUGAAGAGGGUAAUGUAGCUGGGAGUGAGAGAGUAGACACAGGUCAAGAUGGGGAAUCUGAAGACACUGAUAUUUCAGAGGCUGACACUAGUGGGGUACCUGAUCUUAGACGUUCGAAGAGGGAAACCCAGGGUAGAUUGCCUGUAAGGUAUAAGGAUGAUUACAUUCUGAAAUAAGAGUCUAGAAAGUUCUGUAACUUUUAAGGUAUUGGGAGAAAAAGUCAUGUACAAUGUGAUGUCUUCCUAAUAUGUUUUUUUUGUGUUUCAGAGAUGAGCCUGCUGGAGAUGUCGAUGGCAUGGCAGGGUUUAGCAGGGGGGAAUGUAACGGGUGUAUAUUAUCUAAAAAAAUCAUUAUUAUUUUGGGGGACUUUUAUUUUGACGGGCGGAUUGGUUUUCGGCGAUGAGAGUCAGCGAGGAGAAGAAGAACGCGGGUGUAUGUGUGACACACAGAAAAAGUGAGUGUUGUAUUUGAGAAGCUCGUCCGAUAAAGUGACUUAAACGAAAGUUAAUCGGGGCUUAGAUCGAAUAAAGGACAACAUCAAGUAAUUUUUGUGAGCUGUGUCCCGCGUUUCGUAGUUUUUUUGUGAGUUUUGAUCUGUGAAUCGCAUUGCGUUGGACUGCUGGAGUGACGCAGUAAUGUUUGUGAAGGCUACAAGAACUGUGAGUGUAUUUAACUUACAAGUUUAGCUUGAUUAGUGACGAUUGAAGAGAUUUUAUUUUUUUUCUUCCUCCACAUUUUUGUUUAAGUUUUGGACUUUUUCCAUCUUGAUUGAGAAGCACUCGUACAAACUAACGUUUCAGGAAGUUUGGUCACGCGCAUUUUUGUGUUCGGCACGUGUUAUCGCACGUGAGAUGCAAAUUGCUGUCUGCAGUUGGUGCUGAACAUCGGGGGGGGGGGUUUCCAGAAGAUUUGAGUUUAAGACUAUUUUGUGUUACCCUGCCAUCCAACGACAUCUCAGUUUGACAUCUCAGUGGUGUAUCGCAGUUUAAUACAUCCCUGUUGGUUCAUUUCAUUUUUGAUUCACCUCAGUUUGAUUCAUUCGCUUUCGACUCAUUUUUGAUUCAUUUUUUUGUGGGACAUUUCAUUGAGCUUGAGUGACAUUGCUACGAAAUCUCAAGAUAAUUUCAACGCACGCUACGUCAAGAACUCAUCUCAAUUCCUUAUUUUUUUUAUAUUUUUUGAUCCGAGGAACUUUGAACUGUGAGAGUUCGGUUGAAUCACAGAACCUAAAGUGAACUGAGUGAGUACAUAAAGGGACAUUUCACGUGAGUGCUCUUCCAGAUGUGAAAUUGCAUCGUAUAUAUUGAUGUUGUUUUUCUCCUCAAAUGUGAUUGUCUGAUCAUUCGAAGUUGAUCAUUUUGAAAACUUAAAAUUCAUCAUAAGUGGUGUUUAGAAAAGUGUUUUUUUUAUUUUAUUUUGAAGUGGGGUUUAUCUUUGUACAAGUAAAAAAGUUUAGAGUUUUUACAUUGAAAGUGAUUGGGUUGUACUGGGUUUGAAAGAAAACACAAAGACCAUACAUUUUUUUAUUUAUUUUAUUUACUCUAUUUUAUUUUAUUAACCCUUAAUUAACACUUGAUUACAAGAAAGAAGAAAAGACACAGAUAAUAAAUAUUGUUUAAUUUUCAUACUUACCUCAUUGUAUUUUUUGUUUAGAGCUGUCAAGGAGUAGGGGCGUCUCAGCUACUUUAUUAGACCAGAGGAGGGAGGAGUAUAUUAGAUUUUCUCACACCUUUUACUUUUACUUCAGGAAGCCAGUGACAUUACUUAAGCUGAAGCCUACCCUCGUCGGUCUGUACAUUCCAAUAAAGUAGAACACAACAUACAUACAAUUAGUGUGUAGUGAGACUAAAAGCACUGGAAGCGGAGACUAAGAUCUUUUCGUUAUUCAGUCUUCCGUGGCAGCACUAAUACAUCUUCCCCUACAAGACGGGUUAAAUACUCGUUACAC
Molecule: long non-coding RNA, 8073 nt
Organism: Cyprinus carpio carpio
Lineage: Eukaryota; Metazoa; Chordata; Actinopteri; Cypriniformes; Cyprinidae
Source: Ensembl